Non-coding RNA from Mycena metata, 95 nucleotides. The record is from the annotation of a GenBank genome assembly. NCBI's taxonomy places the organism in Eukaryota, Fungi, Basidiomycota, Agaricomycetes, Agaricales, Mycenaceae.
CACUUGGUAGCACAUGGUGUGCACCUGUUUGACUUGUAAAAGAUCGCACGUACGAGUUUAUGCAGGAGGCCCCGGUUCGAUUCCGGGUCAGGUGA